GAAGAAAGAUUAUAUAACUUAGAAGAAGAUUUUUAUUAGUUGUUACAAGCUUUGUUUAUUUCUUGGUGAUACAAAAUGAGAAGAGAGUGGAGGUAUUUAUAGCCUCCAAAGUACAAAAUAUCUUACAUAUUUUAAUCUUAAAUCUAGAGAAUUCUACUUAAAAAUCUAAAUUAUUUUAUCUUAAUUAUCUAGAUAAUUCUAUAAGAAUAUCUAGAUUUUUAUUUUAAGGAGGUGGAUGAUUUUUCUAGAAUUUGGGCUAAGUUUUGGAUCAACAGAUGAUUAACCCAAUAAUAUUUGAUCAAAAUCAAGUUUAUUUUUCAACAGUGUCCCUCUUCUAACAGAUGCCAAUAGUGGUUCGAGAGACUGGGAUGAAACCAUUGAUCAUGGAACCUUUUUAGAAUAAUAAGAUGAGAUAUUAAUCGAGUGUUAGGAGGGAGCCAUUAAUAUUAGAAGAUAAAGGAUGAGGAAGAGAAACUUUAACCCCGAGAAGAAGGACGGUACCAAGAACUCAGGCCCAGCAAAGACAAACACAGACGUAGAGUAUGAUAGCUAUGAAUUUGCAGGCGUAACAUGUUGUUUCAGGAUCCAUGUAUUAAGUUUAAGAUCACGUUUCCAAAAUAAGAGAAAAUGCAAGGACCCCAUGCUAUAUGUCACGUGCAACUUCACCAAGUGGUCUAGAUAUCAUUGACAGCUAGAGAAAGAAUGGAUGCAAGACUUAUAUUUCAAAGAUCUGCCAUCACAAAAAGUAAUUACUACUACUAUUACAAUACUUAAGAAACUGGAAACACACACACAAAUUAUAUGUUCGUGAGAAUACAUAGGUACUGCUGUCUGUAUGUGAGAAACAAGAAAAAUGGACACUGAAAAGCUUAUAUUCUAAUUGAAAAUAAAAUAUUAAAUGCAUGGUUGAGGAAGAAAAAAGAUGAAAUGAAUUGGAAAAUGGAGGUUCACAUAAGAAGAGCAUUGAAAGAAUGAUGUUUCUUUCACAAUAUUUAAUUACGCAGGCAGUGUAAUUAAACCAUUGCAAACGUAUAGGAAUCUGGAAAAAAAUAUUUAAAAACAAACAGCUACGCAUGAACACAAAUCAGUUUAGAGAAACGACUUGGGCGACCGUCGGACGUACAUUUCAAAACAUCAAAUACGUGGAAAAUGAUACGAGAAGAAAUUCAAUAGACCAUUUGAUAUGACUACUCCACCUGUACAGUCAAAACAAAACUUAACAGAAGCAUGAGUUCGAAACAUGGAAUAUGCUGUGAAGACAAAAUGCAGAAAUAACAAAAGUGGUCAGGAGAUUUGGUCAAUGUCACAGAGUAAAGAAUCACAAACGUACAAUUAACAUCGACUGUAGUUUCUAUGGGAGAGUGGCCUCUACUGCGAAAAAAUAAUAUUGGGAGAUAUGACAAUGCACAAUGCUAAACAAAAAAAAAAGUAGAAGAUUAAAGACCAAAGUCCAUGAGUGAAAAUAAUAAGAUCAAAGGUCUAGAGAUAUAAGGAAAUGAGCUACUGUGGUCGGAUAUCAAAAUAAUUACACAAAUAGAAAAUAGCACAACUAAAACAAUAUGCCCAGAAUAUAGAACGCACAACUAAUGAGAAAAGAUUUUUCUCAAAAAAAAAAAACUAAUGAGAAAAGAUAAAAAAGCAUGUCCGGCGUUUGCGCGGGAUGAAACCACCUAGUAAUAUAUAUAUAUAUAUAUAUAACAUCUAUCUAUCUAUCUAUUUAUAUAAAUUUAUAUAAAGAACAUUUUAACUCUCUUCUGGUGAGGACACGUCCUCUUUUUUUAUUCUUUAUUUUUGGGUUUCGUUGCUUACGUUAUUCGUUUACAAUUGCUGGGCUUCGAUGAGCCGUCACCAUUUAGGGUUCUAUCUGUUCUUCAAGUUCUCAUUCAUGUCUGACAAUGGAGUCUCGGGAGAGAAAGUCGAGAAGAAUCGUGUUGACGAUUCACUGGAUCGAGAUAUCUUGGUGUCGUUUCGUCUCCGUUUCUUAUCCACUGUAUCGUUAGGGGAUGAAUUGAUUUGGUCAUUAACACUCUUCUUAAAUCCUUCGAUCCACUGCAACUGGGCGUUCUCCAUCAAUGCCUCUUCCCUCCCUUCAAGGCGGUGCAUUUACAACUAUAAAAAAAGGGAGAAGAGCUCGAUGAAAUUCAGCAGCAAAUCUAUUAGAUACUACAUUCUCUCCCUCAUCUUCCUCCUCUUCUUCACUCUUAUUGAAAUGUAAGAGAUGUAAACACCACUUUGCUCACUUCAUAUCUGUGAUUUGACUGUUUAUUCAUUGAAGAUUUUUAUGUAAAAACAUGCCUGAGAUUUUGAGUUCUUAGCAUUUUGAGCUCAGUUCAUCCGAAAGCCCGUGCUAAUUGCUUUUCACUGAUUUGUAUAUCAAACAUUACAACAUCGUGUAACAUGUAUUAUUUGUUACUAUGACUUAUUACAUUUUAUCUACUAACUAAAAUUUUCAAUUUUUUGAGCGGAUCAUCACCUAUUACAGUAUCUAUAAGACAAUUUCUCCUCAAACUAUCUAACGAGUUUGAAUGAAUUGAAUGAGAUGAAUAAGACAAAUUUCACAUAAUCCUUCCAUGGACGGGACAACUUACAACCUCUUUUGAAAAAAAAACAUUUCUUGUAUAUGUCAAUAUGAUAUGGUUGUAUGUGCACUGAUAAAACUUGACCUCGUAUAUAUAUAUUUGUUUUUUUUCUUAUACAACUUGUUUUUUUUUCUAUUCCUGGUUGUCAGUACUUGUUUACGUCUCAUAAAGAAAAAUCACUAGUAGAAAACUUCUAAAUACACACGUUUUAGACACAGUAGUAUCGUGACUUAUUUUGUGUUAGUCACGACAAAGUCACAUUUAGUCACGAAAUAGGACAACGUGACAAUCUGUGUCUUUUUCAUGGCAAAAUAGAUACGAAUUGGUCACAUAUGUUUUCGUGACUAAACGUAGUCACGAUUUGUCACAAACUAUUUGUGACUAAAAUGUCACGUUUUCGAAACCGUGUAUAAACCGUGGCUUUAAGAGUCACGAAAUGACACUAGAUAAACCGUGACCAAGACAAUGUCUAAUCAAAUAAACGUAAACUUUAGUCUCACUCUAUUUUGUGAUUAAAUUGAGACUUUUCCAACAAAAAAAUGUCAUAGAAUUUACAUCAAAGUCAGAAAACGGGACUGUUUUGGCUGGGAAUAUAUUCGAAUUUGGUUGGUCACAGUAGCCAUCGUGACAAAAACAUGUCAUAUCUAGUCACGGUUUCAUUAUUGUGACAAUUUCCGUGACUAAAACAACACAAAACAAACACUUUCGUGGAAAUGAAGAACACAAUAUCAAACCAAGAAAACCUCUCCUCUCAAUAUUUUUUUGUGUUCUUGACAAAUUAGUGAACGUCUUUUCUCAACUCUUUCUUUUGUAUUCCAUAAUUUCAAUGUCUCAUUUCUUUCAAUCAAGAGAGUGGAUGGAUCGACAUUUGGAUCCAAUCCGAAAUUGUGUUUCUGAAGAAUUUAUGGAGGGAAUUGAAGUGUUUCUUGCUUUUGCUUGUAAUCAAGAGUCUUACCAAGGAACAAGCACUAUGUUGUGUCCGUGUGCACGAUGCAAGAACCGGAAACAACGUGAUGCAAAGACGGUUUCUAAACAUCUUUUCCGAGUAGGAUUUACGGGGAAUUACUAUGUUUGGUCAAGUCACGGAGAAAGCUGUUACAAUGUUGGACAAUCUUCGGGGACAAGUCAUUUCUAUGGAGAAGAAGCACCAGAAGAAGCAGAAGGUACAAACUAUCAAAUUCCAAACGAAAUGUACGUUACUAAUCCAUUUUCCAAUAUAAAUAUAAAUUUGGAAGAAGAUGUUGAAGUAACCUCUACAUUGGAGUAUGCGGUGGAAGUGGGUAAUGAAGAAACAUUUCACGAUAACGCUUUUAGAGCCUAUGAAGAUGCAAGGCAACCACUUUAUGAUGGAUGUUCUGAAGGAAUUUCUCAAUUAUACUUGGCUUCACGAUUGAUGAAAGCAAAAACCGAUUACAAUUUGCCAGAUGCUUGUAUCGACGAGAUAUCACAAACUUUUAAAGAUGUUCUACCGAAGCCGAAUAAAGCGCCAUCAUCUUAUUAUGAAACGAAGAAGCUGGCCCGAUCACUUGGCCUCCCUGUUGUGAAGAUUGAUAUUUGUGAGGAUAACUGCAUGUUGUUUUGGAAAGAAGAUAAAGAGCUUUUGGCAUGUCGGUUUUGUGGUAAAGACAGAUACCAUCCAAACAGAGGAAGAGGAAAAAACCGUCCUAAACAGAGGAUGUUUUAUAUGCCGAUUACGGAACGGCUGAAACGUCUAUACCAAGUAGAGACAACUGCAUCACAUAUGCGAUGGCACGCAAAGCAUAAUUCACCUGAAGGAGAAAUGCAUCACCCAUCAGAUGGAGCGGCAUGGAAGCAUUUUAAUGGGGUAUAUCCUCAAUUCGCUGCUGAAAGUCGUAACAUUUAUUUAGGCUUAUCGACAGAUGGAUUUAAUCCUAUCGGUAUGAAUGGUGAAGCACAUUCGAUUUGGCCCGUUAUCGUAACUCCAUAUAACUUACCACCUGGUAUGUGUAUGAAAAGGGAAUAUUUAUAUCUGUCGAUACUAGUUCCCGGGCCAAAACAUCCGAAAAAAAGUCUAGAUAUUUAUCUUCAGCCGCUGAUUGAAGAAUUACAAAGUUUAUGGACUGAGGGGGUGGAAGCUUAUGAUAUCUCAAAGAAAGAAAGAUUCACAAUGCGAGCUGCACUGAUGUGGACAAUAAGCGACUUUCCAGCAUAUGCAAUGCUUUCUGGUUGGAUGACGCACGGUAGAUUAGCGUGUCCAUAUUGUUUAGAUGAUACAAAGGCUUUUUGGUUACAAAAUGGAAGGAAACAUAGUUGGUUUGAUUGUCACAGAAUGUUUUUGCCUCAGAAUCAUCCUUACCGGCGAAAUGUUAACGCGUUUCGGCGGGGACAAACAAUAUCAGAUGAUCCACCCCCGUGGUUGAUUGGAGAAGAAAUUCUUCGUGAAAGAAUAAACAACAUUAAGGGGUUGUCCAAAACAGUUGAUUGUGGAGGAAAAGGCCACGAGAAGGCUGCACAGACGAUAUCUGGCUAUGGAAAGGAUCAUAACUGGGUGAAGAAGAGUAUUUUUUGGGAUUUGCCAUAUUGGGAGAACCUUCUUCUUCGACACAACAUUGACUUCAUGCAUGUGGAGAAAAACUUUUUUGAUAAUCUCACCAACACUGUGUUGAAUGUUCCUGGAAAGACGAAAGAUAACAUUAAAUCGAGGAUGGAUCUCCCUAAUAUAUGUAGAAGACAAUCUCUACAUUUAAACGAAAAUGGAACUAUGCCUGUGCCGAUAUUUAGGUUGUCAAAUGAAGAAAAAAGGCAAUUUCUCUCAUGGCUGAAGAAUGAUAUAAAAUUUCCAGAUGGAUACGCUUCAAAAUUUAGUCGGUGCAUUGAUGAAACAAAUAUGAAGCUAUCAGGGUUGAAAAGUCACGAUUGUCACGUUAUUAUGCAACGUCUUUAUCCAUUUGCAUUUCGUGAACUCCUUCCGAAACAUGUUCAUACCGCAAUUUCAGAGAUUGCACUUUUCUUUCGUGAUAUCUCAGCAAAGAUAUUGCGCACCGAAGAUGUUGUCCUUUUGAAAGAAAAUAUAGGGGUGAAGCUUUGUAACUUGGAGAAGAUAUUUCCUCCAUCGUUCUUUGAUGUUAUGGAACAUCUUCCUGUGCAUCUACCAGAUGAAGCUGCUUUAGGUGGUCCUGUCCAAUAUAGAUGGAUGUAUGUCUUCGAAAGGUACAUGUAUCAUCUGAAAAGAUGGUAAAAAACAAGGCAAAUAUUGCAGGGUCCAUUGUUGCACAAUGUUUGAAUGAGGAGAUGUCAACUGCAUCUGCAACUUACUUUGGUCAUCCAGAAGUAAUAGAAGAAGCUUCUAUUCGAGGGAAAAUUCGAUUUACUUAUACUUAUGAAGAUGUGCCAAAUUUGUUUUAUCAUGAAGGUCGGGUCAGUGGAAAAGCCACCACGAGAUGGUUAACAGAUGUUGACUUCACCGUCUUGCAAACAUUUAUGUUGCUCAAUUGCGAUGUGUUUGAACCUUAUGAAAGGAUGUUUGAUGAGUUCGUGAUGGAAGCAAACCCAAAUAUUACUAGUAAUGAUCUACAGAGAGCGAAAGAUCAACAUUUUGCAAAAUGGGUGAAAGAUUUUAUUACAAAUGCCAGUGAAACAUAUGAGUUCCCUUUAUGGAUGUUGGAUUUCAUUCAAGGACCGCAUCGUAAUUACACAUCAUGGCCGAUAUAUUUCUCGCGAGGAUAUUGCUUCCACACACAUAGCCAUGGCCAAGAUAAAAUACCCAACAUUAUGGUGUGUAUGUCCGUGGAACCACCGAGACCGAGUAUUAUGGGCUGAUAGAAGAAAUCAUGAUGAUCGAGUACGGUGGUGCUGUUGGCUUGAAAGCCAUGAUUUUCAAAUGCAAGUGGUUUGAUACAGUAGUGGGUCGUGGAAUGCGUAAGCAUAAGUCGGGGAUCGUUGAUGUGUCCCCCCGUGGCCAAUAUGAGAAAUAUGAUCCUUUUAUACUGUCUGGUAAUUGUGAUCAAGUAUGUUUCAUUCCUUAUCCGCGUGUGCGUCGUACAAAUGUGACAGACUGGUGGGAAUGCACAAAAGUUUUGCCUCGAGGGGUAAAUGAAACAUUUGAAGUUGCUCUAACAGCAUUGCAAGAUGAUACACGUAACGAUGUUGUUGCACCGAGUGAGAUGAUACGAAUUGAAUCAUAUGUCGUGGAAGAUGAUUCUGGUUAUGAUGUCUUACCCGUGGCUCCUCCUAACGAUGAAUAUGUAUCAGAAGACGAGUUAGAAGAUUCGUGUGCCGACUCUGAUUCGGACUCCGAUUCUGAUUAAGGUAAUAUGUAGUUGUAAUAUGUAUUUGAAAUUUGGAAUAUUAUUAAUAAAAUAAAUUUUAAUUAUCAUGCUUAUUUGAUUAUUACAAAUAUGUAUCUUGUUUAGGAGUUACAAUUUAGGGAUUAUAUUUUUAAAGGUUAUAGUUGAAAGGUUGUUGUUUAGUGGUUAUAGUUUGAGGGUUAGGGUUUAGGGAUUAUAAUUUAUAAAGGCAUGGGGGUUGUAUUUUUUGGGCUCUAUUGUUUUACAGUUUGUUCAAAACAAUAGAUUUGUAGUUUUGGAUUACGAAUUUCGAUUUAGUUAAUGAAAAAUGUUAAAGUUGGUUAUUGAUAAUGUUAAAAUUUAUUUAGGACAUAGAGAAUAUUUGCCAAAUUUUCUACUCGAACUUUUGCCUCCGUAUAUUUUGCCUCCAUACAUAUUUCUGGCUCCAAUUUUUGGCUCCAUUUAUUUGGGUUUUGGCUCUUAAACUUUUGCCCAAAACACUUAAUAAAUAAAGGACGCUCUCCUCUCUUCCCAAACACAACACUUAGACAAAAAAAAAACCUAUACUCUCUCGACUCUACUUCGACUAUCGGACGACACUCGAAGUCACUGUCUCGAGCUCUCUCUGAUCAGAACCAGCAUGGCUCAAAGCGGACCAUCAGAUAAUCGGCGUCGCCCACGCCCACCAGAGUUAAACCUUCCCGAUAUGCAACAAAGAAGAAUACCAACCUCAGUUGCAUCUGCAGGGUUUGUCAUGCCUCCUACGAUAUGAUGGUUGAGGGUGGAUUGGACGAGCCACCAUCUUUCAUUGACCUUGUGCGCAAGACACACACUCGCAAGGAUGGUUCAUUCAUUGAUGAACGUGCUGAGGCUCUAGUCUUAGAGGUGGAGGAAGCUGUGGACUCUAUGAUACUCGAUGAGGACUCUCCCAAUGACGUCAGCCCAACUGCUUCAACUGCUACAACUACUCCUUCAAGGCGGUUCCUCCUUGAUCAAGAAUUUCUCAAGCGUGCUAAGACAAGCAAAGGGCGUGUAUAUGGGAUUGGUAGUGUCCAGUUCAGAGACUAUGAACCACCUCAGUCAGUCCCAGCAUCUCUUAAACGCAGCUUAGACAUGGACUUGCGCGUAUCUGGAAUAGAGACAAAUGCUGAACAUGUGCAGACCACUGUGGAACUUCUCAAGACUGAUAUGACAACUCUCAAAGGAGAUUUUUUAGCCUUCAAGACUGAGUUCCAGCAGGAAAUGGCUGCAACAAGAAGCUCCCUUAAUGUCAUUCUACAGGCUCUUGGUGCUCUUGGUGCUGUUUCUCCUCAAGUGAACGAACCUGACAAUGCCUCAACUCCUUAGGCUUCUUGCUUAAGUUGAUCUCUUUUAGCUUUCGUAACAACUAUGUAACAAGGAUGCUACUAGGUUUUUUUGUAAUGUAACGAUCCUUUUGUAACAACUAUGUAACAAGGAUGCCACCUAGUCUUUUGGUAAUGUAAGAACCUUUUGUAACAACUUUAAUUAUCAAAAAUCGGCUGUAGUGUUUUGUUAAACGUUUUUCAUUGUAAUAUAUUUUAAUUAGGUUUAAAAUU
This is an RNA transcript of Brassica napus (rape), 8403 nucleotides long. RefSeq lists it as uncharacterized. The transcript is spliced from 8 exons. NCBI's taxonomy places the organism in Eukaryota, Viridiplantae, Streptophyta, Magnoliopsida, Brassicales, Brassicaceae. The record is from RefSeq and is a predicted model, not a curated record.